CGUUAAUGAUAUAGAUAUCAAAAUGGAUGAAAGGGCAGUGGUCAUUGUAAGUAUUAGCUUUAUUUUAAGUAAGUUCAACAGAAUAAAAAGCUACUUAUCACGUUAAAAUAUUCCCUUAGGUCUAAAGUUUGUUUGGAUGAACUUCAAAACCAUUAAUUUCAGAAAAUUUGUGAGGUGAGUGGGUAAAAGGGCACCAAAAACGCCAAAAGAAGGAAAAUUACGAUUGUUUCAUAAAAUUUAAUAGGGUGCACCUUACGUGACCCAGAAAAAAUUACAGUGAUUUAGACAGCAAAAACAGUGCUAAUGACAUUGGAAUAAAAAAAAAAGUCCUGGGUCACGUUGGCGCAGUCACUUAAAAACUAAAAUUCGUUGUACUAAACACCUGAAAAGUGAAUAAUAAUUACAAUAUUUGAAUAAUAACAGAAAGUUUACCGGC
Molecule: long non-coding RNA, 436 nt
Filed under: Mytilus galloprovincialis (Mediterranean mussel)
Lineage: Eukaryota; Metazoa; Mollusca; Bivalvia; Mytilida; Mytilidae
Source: RNAcentral